CUGCAACUGGUGCUCAUGGACCAGAUGAAAGUCCGGCUUUUGAGAAAGCAAGGAAAUGCAUAGAAUCAAUUCUCGCCUUUUGUGAAUCAACUCCUGAUAUGUGCAUGAGCAUUGGAUAAGAAAAAAAAGCAGGCAAUGCUAAAGAAUGGAUCUAAGAGAAUAAAG
Molecule: long non-coding RNA, 165 nt
Organism: Argiope bruennichi
Lineage: Eukaryota; Metazoa; Arthropoda; Arachnida; Araneae; Araneidae
Exons: 3
Source: RefSeq, a predicted model, not a curated record